GACGAACGCUGGCGGCGUGCCUAAUACAUGCAAGUAGAACGCACAGUUUAUACCGUAGCUUGCUACACCAUAGACUGUGAGUUGCGAACGGGUGAGUAACGCGUAGGUAACCUGCCUGGUAGCGGGGGAUAACUAUUGGAAACGAUAGCUAAUACCGCAUAAUAUUAAUUAUUGCAUGAUAAUUAAUUGAAAGGUGCAAUUGCACCACUACCAGAUGGACCUGCGUUGUAUUAGCUAGUAGGUGAGGUAACGGCUCACCUAGGCGACGAUACAUAGCCGACCUGAGAGGGUGAUCGGCCACACUGGGACUGAGACACGGCCCAGACUCCUACGGGAGGCAGCAGUAGGGAAUCUUCGGCAAUGGACGAAAGUCUGACCGAGCAACGCCGCGUGAGUGAAGAAGGUUGUCGGAUCGUAAAGCUCUGUUGUAAGAGAAGAACGGGUGUGAGAGUGGAAAGUUCACACUGUGACGGUAUCUUACCAGAAAGGGACGGCUAACUAUGUG
This 505-nucleotide ribosomal RNA is filed under the name uncultured bacterium. RNAcentral describes it as "partial 16S ribosomal RNA". It matches the Rfam family "Bacterial small subunit ribosomal RNA", at positions 28 to 507 of the family's 1533-position model. The record is from RNAcentral.